UCGAUACUCCUCGGGCAAGCCUCUGACUACUCGGAGACAGCCGGAGUAUUCGUCCAGAAGGAAAAGUUGUCGCCGGCCUCUAACGACUCGACACUGUCCAAACUCGAGACAGCCACAGAAUCACAGAUGGACAUGGAUGCCCAGCCAGGGACAACAAUUCCAAGCCUCCCUUGCAAUUAGGUGUGGCCAUGACUGAGUUCUUUUCCAAGGGAAGGUAAACAGCUGUGAUGUGGAUGCAGACACAGUGCGGAGAGCACAGGACCUGCCACCUCCCAAACCAAUUCCACCUUUGGAUCUAAGUUCAUGUCAUGCUUUUUAAGGGCAAUGCCAUGGCAGCUUCUGGACCAGUUCCUUGGAUUCCCAUCAGGCACAGCCCACACCGGACCUCCAGCAGGCCUUCCCAGAGAUAUGGAAAGUUAGUGAGGUCCCAGAGCCAGCCUCUGAUCCUUGGGCCAGAGGAAGGUCACUGAGUAGCAUCUAAAAGCCAGAUGGCUGACCACAAGCCUGUGGUCAUGGUAAUGCUGUGGAAAUGGUAAGUUUGAAAAUGCACAUGCUUUUGGAGCCAGCCUUCGACCUAAGAAGAGAAAUAGCCCGUGUAUGGACUUCGGCAAAAUGGUGAACCCAAGCUGGGUCUAAAGUGGGCAGCCCUGGCCAAUAGUUAUCACGUGGGAAUCCUGGCUUGCUAUGGCCGAUGUUCUGAAUUUUCCAAAAGCCAGAAACAAGGACUUCGAGUCAUAUGAAAAUUUUAAAAAACACCCAAAUCUUAUACUUAAAUAUUGAAAACAAAUUCCAAAAAUUUAAAUCACUUUGCUGGUCAAACAACAUAUAUCUGCAGGCUGGAGUUUAGCAGUGGACACUGGUUUUCAAUCCCUGACAUGUUGUUGAAGAGUGAGUGCUUUGAAUCAAUGUCCAGGCGCCAUCACCUACCAGCUGCAUGAUCUUGGCAAGUAUUUUAACUUCCGAGUCUCCAUUUAUAAGGACAGUACGUA
Long non-coding RNA from Mesoplodon densirostris (Blainville's beaked whale), 989 nucleotides. RefSeq lists it as uncharacterized. The transcript is spliced from 3 exons. The record is from RefSeq and is a predicted model, not a curated record. Lineage: Eukaryota; Metazoa; Chordata; Mammalia; Artiodactyla; Ziphiidae.